Abrus precatorius (Indian licorice) is the source of this 199-nucleotide long non-coding RNA. RefSeq lists it as uncharacterized. Lineage: Eukaryota; Viridiplantae; Streptophyta; Magnoliopsida; Fabales; Fabaceae. The transcript is spliced from 2 exons. The record is from RefSeq and is a predicted model, not a curated record.
UUGAACGUUAUUUUGGAAAUGGCGUUAUCUCAGCACAUCUCCUUCAUUAUGAUAACAAUUUUUGUUGCUUUGAUGCUGCACAUGUCCUCUCUGCAUGUCACUGCUGAGGUGUUUCAUGGUUCAGUUGCCGAAGUCAGCCUCGGGCGAAGGGUUCUUCAAUACAAUACUACAGGGCGUGGAGGAUACAACUAACAUAAGU